GAGUUUGAUCCUGGCUCAGGAUGAACGCUAGCGGGAGGCUUAACACAUGCAAGUCGAGGGGCAGCACGAGGUAGCAAUACUUUGGUGGCGACCGGCAGACGGGUGAGUAACGCGUAUGUAACCUACCCUGUACUGGGGGAUAACCCGGAGAAAUUCGGACUAAUACCCCAUAGAGAUAUAGAGAGGCAUCUUGAAAUAUUUAAAGUUUCGACGGUACGGGAUGGGCAUGCGUAACAUUAGCUAGUUGGUAAGGUAACGGCUUACCAAGGCUUUGAUGUUUAGGGGUCCUGAGAGGGUGAUCCCCCACACUGGUACUGAGACACGGACCAGACUCCUACGGGAGGCAGCAGUGAGGAAUAUUGGUCAAUGGGCGAAAGCCUGAACCAGCCAUCCCGCGUGCAGGAAGACGGCCCUAUGGGUUGUAAACUGCUUUUCCAGGAGGAGAAACUCUCGUACGUGAUACGGGAUUGACGGUACCCUGGGAAUAAGCAUCGGCUAACUCCGUGCCAGCAGCCGCGGUAAUACGGAGGAUGCAAGCGUUAUCCGGAUUCAUUGGGUUUAAAGGGUGCGUAGGCGGACUAUUAAGUCAGUGGUGAAAUCCUGCAGCUUAACUGCAGAACUGCCGUUGAUACUGAUAGUCUUGAGUUUGGUUAAG
This 655-nucleotide ribosomal RNA is filed under the name uncultured Bacteroidota bacterium. Its description in RNAcentral is "bacterial SSU rRNA". It matches the Rfam family "Bacterial small subunit ribosomal RNA", at positions 9 to 656 of the family's 1533-position model. Lineage: Bacteria; Pseudomonadati; Bacteroidota. The record is from RNAcentral.